CAGACAGAGGUCUUGGAGAAGUCCUGGAGAUUCAAGAUAAGAAAGAGUCCAUCAUCACAUAUCAUGGAGAACAUCAUAUUAGAAAUGUCUUAGGAAUGGAUGCAGGAUCGUGAGAAUAACUCAUUUAAUUUCCACAGUCACUAUCACCAGGAUCAAGAACAACAUCCUAAAAUAUUCCCAUCAAUUCACUCUGGAUCCGAACACAGCACAUAAACAUCUCCGUCUGUCUGAUAGCAACAAAGUGAUUGCUGGCACCAGAGUAGAUCAACCGUAUCCUGAUCAUCCAGACAGAUCUGAAAGUGUGUGUCAGGUGUUGUGUAGAGAGAGCGUGUGUGGACGCUGUUACUGGGAGCUGGAGUGGAGUUCUGGUGAGCGUGGUAUGCUCUUUUGGAUUCAAUAAGAUAUGGACCGAUCUCCCUGUGAAGUCCAUCAGCAGAAGAAUAGGAGUGUUUGUGAAUCACAGUGCAGGAACUCUGUCCUUCUACAGCGUCUCGGACACAAUGAACCUCAUCCACACAGUCCAGACCACAUUCACUCAGACACUCUAUCCUGGGUUUAACGUUUCUAGGGGAUGCCGAGUGGAACUGUGUUGAUGAAUCAGAACAGAACUUUGAGCUCCGUGAUAAUCGGUAAUAAUGAGGUUUGGAGACUGUCUUCUUUUCUCUUCAUGAAAUUAAUACUGCAGCUGAAUGUGUGUCGGUGAAAAAAGACGUCAGAACAAAUGUCAUGAAUCCUCAUAUAGACAGUAAAAACCAGUUGUGUGUCUGUACUUUUUACGUGUAUCCGAGGAAUUGUGUUCACAAUCAAUUAAUCCCUUUCAUUAUGCACAUUCUGCAGCUCUGGCCCUCUUCAGCGCUUUGUGUUCCAGUGUGUUUUUUGUAAUGCGUUUAAUCAUAAACCAUGCAAUUCACCUUUAUUUGUGUGUGUGAGCUGCUCACCUGUGUCACCUGUUCAUCUUAAUGUUUUGGAAGAGUACUGUUUUUAACACUACUGUUUUAAAGGUUUUAUUUACAAAUGUGCCAGUGGGUUACUAUUAUCUACAGGCUGUUGGUGUUUUAGUUCCUGAGGGCUGUGUGUGUGAGGGAUGAUGAAGGACAGAUGAAUGGCCACUGCUUUGAUAUUUAUGUACAUCCUGUCGAUUUCUGUGGCUCCUGAAUUUAAGGCCAGGGCUUGGCCUGAGCCAGGAUUAGGCCAUAAUUAAUUGGACAUUUAAGUAAUUAAAUUUUAAACACAUUAAAAAACGACCUAGUGUGUAGUAAUUUUCAAUACUAUUUAGGGCAGAUAGGGUGAAUUUAAAACCCUCUUUUGCGUGAACUACUUCCUCCCGCCAAAAAUUCAAAUCUAAAGCUGACCGUUAACAGCUGAGCCCAAGCGUUACUAAUUUCAAACCGUCACUUUAAAACUAGUAACGAAGAAACGUCAUUAAAAACUUGUAUAACUUUUAGUAAAAGCAGUGUAUAGUAGAGUAUCAUGAGAAAGUGAUGAUUACCUUCAUCUGUGAGUAAUUUCUGAUGACAGUUGGUUGCU
Molecule: long non-coding RNA, 1527 nt
Organism: Puntigrus tetrazona (Sumatra barb)
Lineage: Eukaryota; Metazoa; Chordata; Actinopteri; Cypriniformes; Cyprinidae
Exons: 3
Source: RefSeq, a predicted model, not a curated record